UGAAAAAUUUCAGAAAAUGAUUUCACAAAAACACAGUGUUCAUGUAGUUGCAUUGCAUUUAGGAUCGAGUCUAGAGUGUUUCAUUUAGGAUCAUUGCAUAUGCAUAGGGGAUAAUGAUGAGAUAGCCUUGUAAGCAUUUUGGUUCACCAGAUAAACUCAGCGCCCUCGUUGUUAGUUGCCUGAUGCAUAGUCAAUGAGAUUGAAGUAAGACUCCACCAUGCCUAGAUUGCUCUACUCGACCACACUGUUAGGAUCUGAUACCAUUCCCUAUCAAUUUGAACUUGAAUCUGAUUUAGAAUUAUCAUGUCUUGGCAUCGUAUUUGAACUCAUGGAUACCCUAAAAUACUUGGAUUUUCUUACUCAUUUUAACCACUCUUGUUAGUCCAAGUAGCUGACUCUCUUUAUUAGAGCAGUUAACCCGAACCCAAACCUAAACUUUCUUUCAAGCCCUAUAUCACUCGUGAGUGUUUGUGAGGUCUUAUUUCGAUUGAGCUUAGUAGAAAGUGUUAGGUUCGUAAAGACAGAGAUAGUGUCUCAUGUAGUUCUAGUUCUCGUUCUUCGGACUGGAUAGGACUAGGUGGGCGCUUAUAUCAUGGGUUGGGAUUUGUUUAAAAGAAAAGGGUGAAUUCAUUGUUGACAAGGAAAGGGAAACAAUUCUAGGGGAAAUAAGCUAAAGAAGUUAGAAAAAAAAAAUCUAGUAAAGAUUUUGGGAAUGUUAAAGAAAAGAAUGAGGUUCUUGUUAGCUAAAGAAGAAGGGUUAAAAGCCUUUGGUUUUAAAGAUUAAAAACAGGAACCUUAGUUGUUAAAGAAAUCUAGCGGAUGUAUCAGAGUGUUGAGAAAGCUUCUCCUAGAGUUAAUAGAAAAGAAAAGAAUGAUAUGAAAAAGAGUUUGAAAGAUUCAUGAGUGCAAAGGGUAGAGUUAAGUUGGGACUAGAGUUGGGAUUACCAUUAGAGCUUCAUUGUUAUACUCUGAGUAGAUGGGAUCUUAUCUCUGUAUGCAUAACUUGGGACUUAACUUUAGCAUUCUACUAAAGCUUAAUCAUUCUUGAGAGAUCCCCUGUUACUUAAGCCUAUUCUGUAAGGGACCAUCUUUGUUUCUUAACCUUCACCUUAGCCAAAUGAGUUCAUUGAUGAUGCAUUGCUUGAUUCACGUUCCAGAACUAAUGAAUGUUAAAGGGAUUGGUAGAUUUGAAAGCAUGUGUAGGUCGAGUAUAAGAGACGGAUUGAUUGAUAACAAGGCAUGGCUAACGUUUUUGAGUAAAAUUCAAUCAUAUCGCAUCUUAGAACUACCAACUGGGACAUUGAUUUUAUACUUUGCAUGAUUAGGAUAGCUUUGCAUACAUAUUGCAUUUUUGAGUUGUUUUCAGGUGAUUUGGAGCUGUUUGCGAGCAAAUUGGAAGAAACGAGCUAGAACCAGAAGACAUACUCGACCACCAGGUCGUGUGCAUCCAGCACCAUACUCGACCACCAAGUCGAGUGACUUUGGAGCCAUUCUUCCCAUCUACUCGACCCCCUGGUCGAGUAUCCUCAGCUCAGGCUACUCGAUGACGCCACUCGACCCCCUUGUCGAGUAUCACUUCGCCACACCACCUGACCACACUCGGUUUCACUCUACCAAGUUACUCGACCCCCUGGUCGAGUAUCAUCACUCACCACCAUCACCAUCACUCGACCGGACACUCGAUCAUGUCUUCACAGUCUACUCAAAUCCGCACUCAACCAGACAAGCUGAGCACAAGGAAGAGAAGAGGAGAAGACAAAGUGUUUGGAAGCGGCCUGGACCUCCAUCGGAUCACGAAGCCCAUCUCGGCCCAUUAUCACUCUAUGGGCCGGGCGAUUAGGUUAUUGGCCCGUCUACUAUCAUUUUAUUUCGUUUUGUAUAAAUAGAUGUCUUAGGGUUCUAUCCUGAGACAUCUAGUCGACAUUGAGUUUUUGCUUCAGUUUUAUUUUCUGUUUUACUCUGCUGCGCUGCUUUUGCUUCUGCAACCGGUAAUUCGAGAUUUUUCCAAGUUAUUCCGAUUCCGCAUUUGAUUUCAUCUGUCAUCUUGUUUCUCUACUCCUUAUCUCUUUACUUAUGCAAUAUUAUCAUUUAUCUGCGUUUACGUCCUUGAGCAUGUUGUUUGAGUAGUGACUUAGAAUUCUUAGGGAUGGGAUAGAGUAGUUGUGGAAUCCGUAGUCUGUAGAAUGGUUAAGUUUUAGAAUUGAUUGAAUCCCUUCAGGACUAGUUGCGUUUACUGCUUAUUUCUUUCUGAUCAACUGGAAUUCGAUCCCAAGCAUUCUCGCACCCAGAAGGUGUUCGAUGGAAUGCUUGAUCCACUAGUUCCUGAGAUAUUCGUCUCUAUCCCAAGGGAUUGGCUGUUUAGAGCGUUUAUUGACUUUAUCAGUCUGUUCUUAUUGUCUGCAUAGUUAGAUUCCGUUAAUGGGAAUUAGUCUAGGCUAGCUUUGCUUGAGGAUUUCUAUCACGGGAGUGAAUUGAUCUGUUGUUGAAUAGGCUAGGAUACCACUCUACUCGAUUACCCCAUCCUUAGGAAUUUCUCGUCUAUAUUAUUUCUCUGUUUUAUCGUUAUCGCUUAAUCGUUCUCAUUGCCUGUUUCUUAGUUUUUGCAAUUACUCGACCACACCCAGUGUCUGGCAACAGACUGUGCAGUCAAGUACAGUUGUCUCAUUUCCUAUCUGUUACUCGACCAGUAUACUCGACCACACCCAGUGUCUGGCAACAGACUGUGCAGUCGAGUGUAACUGUUUCACAUCCUGCCUGUUACUCGACCACAUCCUACUUCUGGCAUCAGCCUGUUGUGGUCGAGUGAUUUUAGUGAUUCUAUUAUUGUUUCUGUUUUUUGCAUGUUCGCUUAGGACUGUUAGAAACCCCAAAACUGUUAUUGCUUGGCUUGACUUAGUGACUUCUGAUCACAUCUCAUCUGUUUGCAUCACACUCAUUUGGAUUGACAACCUUCAGUACUACAACGACAUGAUAGUGCUUUAGGUUCAAUUGACUGAAAAACCUAUUAUCAUGUGGUAUCAGAGCACACUCCGAAAGUUGAGUUCUCUAUCUCUAUCAUUUUGUGUCUUUUCAUCUUUAGAUAUGUGUCCGUCUGUCACCUUGAUUUAAUU
This 3110-nucleotide small RNA is filed under the name Arabidopsis thaliana (thale cress). Its description in RNAcentral is "ATSL031340". The record is from RNAcentral. Lineage: Eukaryota; Viridiplantae; Streptophyta; Magnoliopsida; Brassicales; Brassicaceae.